RNAcentral lists this ribosomal RNA (447 nucleotides) under uncultured bacterium. RNAcentral describes it as "bacterial SSU rRNA". It matches the Rfam family "Bacterial small subunit ribosomal RNA", at positions 28 to 479 of the family's 1533-position model. The record is from RNAcentral.
GACGAACGCUGGCGGCAUGCCUAACACAUGCAAGUCGAACGGAGAUUAUUUCGGUAAUCUUAGUGGCGAACGGGUGAGUAACGCGUAGGCAACCUGCCCUUUAGUUGGGGACAACAUCCCGAAAGGGGUGCUAAUACCGAAUGUGACAGUUUUUCCGCAUGGGAUUACUGUGAAAGAUGGCCUCUAUUUAUAAGCUAUCGCUAAAGGAUGGGCCUGCGUCUGAUUAGCUAGUUGGUGGGGUAACGGCCUACCAAGGCGACGAUCAGUAGCCGGUCUGAGAGGGUGACCGGCCACAUUGGGACUGAGACACGGCCCAAACUCCUACGGGAGGCAGCAGUGGGGAAUAUUGGGCAAUGGGCGAAAGCCUGACCCAGCAACGCCGCGUGAAGGAAGAAGGCCUUCGGGUUGUAACGUUCUUUACCUAGGGACGAAGGACGUGACGGUACC